CUUCUUCCAUCAGAUGACUGAAAGUAAGUAAUGGUCUCUUAAACCAUUUUAUAGUAAUUAACGUUUACUUCUGAUGA
Molecule: transfer RNA, 77 nt
Filed under: Cosmetura nigrogeniculata
Lineage: Eukaryota; Metazoa; Arthropoda; Insecta; Orthoptera; Tettigoniidae
Description: tRNA-Lys
Source: RNAcentral